CAUCAUGCCCCUUAUGACCUGGGCAACACACGUGCUACAAUGGGAAGUACAACGAGUCGCAAACCGGCGACGGUAAGCUAAUCUCUUAAAACUUCUCUCAGUUCGGACUGGAGUCUGCAACUCGACUCCACGAAGGCGGAAUCGCUAGUAAUCGCGAAUCAGCAUGUCGCGGUGAAUACGUUCCCGGGUCUUGUACACACCGCCCGUCAAAUCAUGGGAGUCGGAAGUACCCAAAGUCGCUUGGCUAACUUUUAGAGGCCGGUGCCUAAGGUAAAAUCGAUGACUGGGAUUAAGUCGUAACAAGGUAGCCGUAGGAGAACCUGCGGCUGGAUCACCUCCUUUCUAAGGA
Molecule: ribosomal RNA, 349 nt
Filed under: Oenococcus oeni
Lineage: Bacteria; Bacillati; Bacillota; Bacilli; Lactobacillales; Lactobacillaceae
Description: bacterial SSU rRNA
Rfam family: Bacterial small subunit ribosomal RNA
Source: RNAcentral